Drosophila virilis is the source of this 1564-nucleotide non-coding RNA. Lineage: Eukaryota; Metazoa; Arthropoda; Insecta; Diptera; Drosophilidae. The record is from RefSeq and is a predicted model, not a curated record.
ACUUGUCCCAAAAUGACCGAGGCGCGCGAUGGCCAACAACUAAAACUAAACUUAAAAAAAAAAAAACCUAUAAAAAUACAAAAAAUACAAAUACAAAAUAAUUAUAAAAGCUGAACGCAAGAAAUGAAAUUCAAAUUUAAAGUGUGCCCAGCAGCUCAAGUGUGUAAAAUGGCAAAUCGGCAGCGAACUGCAGGCCCAGGACAUGGCCCCUUCUCAAACACAAUAUGAAAAGUCAAGCAAAAGCCUUUAAAUGAGAGAAAGAGAGAGAGAGAGAGAGAGAGAGUGAAACCUCAAAGAGAGUGAAGAUCUCAAAGCCUGGCGAGUUUGCAGUCGUAAGUUUACAUUUUACAGCCCAUCUGAAUUCAACUCAAUGCCCCAAGGAAUUGUUUAUCUAAUUGCCAUAUUCAAAUGGGGUAGGCCAGACAGGUAAGUAAUUAAUACAGUGGAACCUUGAAUUACUCGAAAUACGUAAUUAUCUAUGCAAAUAAUAUUAUUUUCUUUACAAUUUUUUUGCAAAAAAGUCAACUCAAAUUAACACAAAUGGAUCAGAAAUAUUUGGACAAGAGUGUAAAGCUACAAAGGUUCAACUUAAAAUAAUUCUUACACUCAAAUCGAGGGAAGAAACCGUCUUUUGGCGAAGAAACCUGGCGUUAGGAUUCAAGCUAAAUUAUCACACUCAAAAAAUAAGCCUAUAUAACUACUUAUACUACAUAUUCCUAAGGAUAUCUUUAUCAUUUUGUUUGGAACUGUUCAACGCAUUGAUGGACACACCUUCAACCACAAAUGUAUAGUAUAUAGACUGCUGUCUGUUCUCUGCUUAUAGGUCUUUAUUAUUUUAAGUAAAGUACACGAGUUAAUGCUGGCAGGAUGUACUAAGUAAUAUGUAUACUUGCUAAAGGAAUUAUCGCUCGCAUGAAAAAUAUUUGUUUCUCAGCUAUAUUUCUCUAAUAAUAUUGAAACAGAAGCAUUUUCAAAUCAGAAUCUAUCAAGUUAGUUCAUUUUAUAAAAGUAAACCCCUAUAUAAUUUCUAUAAGGACAAUCGACCGGAAAUUGUUUUUUUUUUUUUUGAGGAUAAAUUAACUUAGUUCCAUUUGUGAUGCUGAGAUUAACGGUGCUAAUUUGUAUAUGUUUAAUACUUUGGUAAAUUAUUAUAAAACUCAAAUUUUAAAGAAUUUCGGUAAGAACUAUUCAUGUAUAUUCAAGGAUCCACUGUAUACAGCUAAUGCAUUUAUACAACUUCGUAUUAUUUGCUAAUAUACUACACCAAGCGUUGUUGUUUUUUUUUAUAUUAUUAUUGUCCAUUUCCACCCAAUGUUCAAGCAGUAAUUCGCUCUUCCCAUGGGGCCUUGAGACUUGAAGCUGACGGGCAACGUAAAAUGUAAUCAACGACAAGCACUGCAAUAACAACAACAACAACAACAGCAACAACUAGAGUGAAUGUAUAACAACAACUACAAGAACUGCUAGAACAGUCAGAGCGCGCCUCGUGGCCCCCAUUCAAAACCUGGUCGCACACUUUUGUGGAAUCGACGAACUUCAACAAUUUAUGCAAUUGGCAGCAAAA